AGUAAGUUUCUUGUUUCUUGUUCAAUAGCAUAAGCUGACACAAUGUAAAUCCAGUAGCCAUGGGAGCAUGCAGACUACUACCGAGGCUGCUGUCAGAUGGAUUUUUUAUAUCCAGUUUUAUCAUCAUGUUGUCCUUUUAUGGAUGGGACAUGUCGCAAAGGCUGAGAGAAAAGAGGAUACAUCAGGAGAACGAGGACAGGAUGAAGUUGAUAAAUGAAAUGUGUCAUCAUGAGAAAAAAACAUUUUUACAACAAAGUCAUCACAAGCUGAACAACCUGCUUGUGGAUGACACUCAUGGUGUCAUCUACUGUUAUAUUCCCAAGGUGAAGCUGAAGCACUACACCAAGUUCAUGUUUAGCCGGGACCCAUUUAUCCGUCUCAUCUCUGCCUACCGAAAAACAAAUUUGAGCAUUUAAAUGAGCCCUUCUACAAGGACUAUGGCCGAGACAUUCUGCGUCUUUAUGGCAAACAUCUUAAUCCACCAAACACAAUGAAGGAGGCACUUGCAUCAGGCAUACGCAUUUCAUUUAACAACUUUAUUCAAUACCUGCUGGACCCACGGACUGAGCAGAGAAAUCCCUUUGAACCCCACUGGAGGCAGAUGCACCGUUUGUGUUUGUAUGGCGCCAGACCACUGACAUUAAGUGGUCUGGCUCAGAGAGACUCAUAGACACGCACACACAAAAAUACUGCCAAUGUUCACAAAAAUGUGAAUGGAUGUUAAACAUUAUUGACUGCCAAUUAAUUAAAUGUAAUUUUUACCAUAGGUUGACACUGGUUUGUUGUAUUUCUCAGGUACGAUUUAAUUGGACAUCAGGAGACUAUGCAAGAGGACACUGAAAAUCUGCUCAAGAUCUUAAAGCUGCAGGAUGACAUUAAGGUUCCCUCUGCAUAUGUCAAUGUGACUACCAACGAUUCUGUGAUGAAAUGGUUCAAAACAGUGCCUCUAGAGGACAGGAGGAAACUGUAUAAGAUCUAUGAGAAAGACUUUAAGCUCUUUGGCUACAGGAAGCCAGAUGAACUGCUAAAAGGUUGAGAUGUAUCAUCAGAUGGUGAUAGGGCUGAACAAUUUUGAAUAAAUAUCUAAUUGGCAAUUCUUGUGAAAGGAAUUGUGAUUGCAAUAUGAUUUGUGAUAUCAGAGGAAACAUAUUUAACAUGAUUACUACACUUUUCCUCUACCCAGCUCCAGCACAGCUCAUUACAUUACAUGUCAUUUAGCAGACGCUUUUAUCCAAAGCGACUUACAAGGGAAUUGAGUACAGCCUGCCAGGGGUGGAGUUGAACUUGUGACCAUGACGUCUCUGCAAACAGGGGUACUGGUCUUAAAUUAUUAAGACAAAUAUAUGUUGUAUAUACACACAACUAUACAGGGUGUCCAUAAAGUCUCUUUACAAUUUAAAACAUUUAUUACAAAGGCAGUUGAUAAGAUAUCUUAACCAAAUUUGUUCUAUUGUAAUCAGUGUUUAUCAAAGUUUGUAAUCACAUUGAAAUUGUGUGUUUCAGGUAUCCUGUUGGUGAAAGAGGUACUGUUAAAUGAAAACCUAAAAAAUGGCUACUCCUCAAGAGAAGGCACAAUGUGUAUAA
Solea solea (common sole) is the source of this 1584-nucleotide long non-coding RNA. RefSeq lists it as uncharacterized. NCBI's taxonomy places the organism in Eukaryota, Metazoa, Chordata, Actinopteri, Pleuronectiformes, Soleidae. The record is from RefSeq and is a predicted model, not a curated record. The transcript is spliced from 3 exons.